UCCAUUUGGGCGCUAGUUUUGCUGUAAAGUGCUUUGCUGCUGAGGAUUGAGCAUGGUUACGAACCCACACUCUAUCUCUGGGUUGGUUUUUGAUGUGCUGCACCACUUCAUAGCCAGAGGAAUCAGGUGAUAGGGCUUGUCCCUGUACAAGUUUAUCCACAGGACUUCUGAGUUUUCGCCCCAAGUGAAGCUCCGCAGCUGUCAAGCCUGUUGUUUCAUGUACGGAGGAGUUUAGUGCAAAUCUGAAUUCAGGAAGAGUUCUGUAAACAAGUUGGAGACAAAUUGUGAGCCUCUGUCCGAUAGAAGAAAGUCUGGAACUCCCCAGCGUGUGAGAAUUUCUUUUUGAAACAGCUUUGCAAUUACUGGUGCAGUAGCAGCACGCAUGGGAAAUAAUUCCACCCAGCGGGUGUAGUAAUCCACAAAUACUAGUCUGACAUUUCAAACAGGAUCGGAUGAAGUUCUUGACGUCGUCCCACAUUUUUGGCCAGAA
Long non-coding RNA from Alosa sapidissima (American shad), 490 nucleotides. RefSeq lists it as uncharacterized. The transcript is spliced from 4 exons. The record is from RefSeq and is a predicted model, not a curated record. NCBI's taxonomy places the organism in Eukaryota, Metazoa, Chordata, Actinopteri, Clupeiformes, Clupeidae.